This 64-nucleotide transfer RNA is filed under the name Dimorphostylis asiatica. RNAcentral describes it as "tRNA-Val". The record is from RNAcentral. Lineage: Eukaryota; Metazoa; Arthropoda; Malacostraca; Cumacea; Diastylidae.
AGCCUGGAAUCAUAGUUUUGUAUCUUAUUUACAAUAAGGGGGUUGAUUUAAGUUCACCAGGUUA